Molecule: transfer RNA, 72 nt
Filed under: Saccharina coriacea
Lineage: Eukaryota; Phaeophyceae; Laminariales; Laminariaceae
Description: tRNA-Val
Rfam family: tRNA
About the family: Transfer RNA (tRNA) molecules are approximately 80 nucleotides in length.
Source: RNAcentral
GGGAUCAUAACUCAGUGGUAGAGUGUGUGCCUUACAAGCACGAAGUCGGGAGUUCGAUCCUCUCUGCUCCCA